CCGUGCUAAGGUAGCAUAAUUAAUUGUCUAUUAAUUGUAGACUGGUAUGAAUGGGCACACGAAUUAACUCUGUAUCAUAUAAAUUAAAUAAAUUUAUAUUGGGGUGAAGAAGCCCCAAUAAUUAUAAAGGACAAGAAGACCCUAUANAGCCUAAUGAUUUUGCUGGGGUGGCAUCGGAAUAUUUGUAACUUCUGAGAUAAGUCGACUGUUAGUCUUAUUAAUGAUCCUUAUAGAUUAAAAGAAAGGCUACCUUAGGGAUAACAGGCUAAUCUUACUUUAGAGCCCCUAUUCAAAGUACGG
This 300-nucleotide ribosomal RNA is filed under the name Capilloventer australis. RNAcentral's name for it is "partial 16S ribosomal RNA". It matches the Rfam family "Bacterial large subunit ribosomal RNA", at positions 1946 to 2516 of the family's 2925-position model. Lineage: Eukaryota; Metazoa; Annelida; Clitellata; Capilloventrida; Capilloventridae. The record is from RNAcentral.